GUGGGGAUGGGCAGGGCA
RNAcentral lists this unclassified non-coding RNA (18 nucleotides) under Mus musculus (house mouse). RNAcentral's name for it is "oocyte_clustered_small_RNA1480". The record is from RNAcentral. Lineage: Eukaryota; Metazoa; Chordata; Mammalia; Rodentia; Muridae.